Molecule: long non-coding RNA, 1577 nt
Organism: Oncorhynchus gorbuscha (pink salmon)
Lineage: Eukaryota; Metazoa; Chordata; Actinopteri; Salmoniformes; Salmonidae
Exons: 3
Source: RefSeq, a predicted model, not a curated record
AACAUUCAGUUUGCGACCAGAAUAAGACGUCAUUGUCUUUUCAUCCAGGUUUGGCCCACUAGGUAGUGAUCUAGGCUAGAAAAGGUUCAUUGACAAUAGAAGUAGUAUUUUUACCUGUGGAUAGUCUGACUUCGUCUCCUUGUGUUUUAUGAAGCCAGACAGCCAGGACAGCGUGCUGUUUUGUUAUGUCGACUACCUGUGAUCUGUUCCAACUGCUGUAUGGAAUGUUGACUGAUGCACUCCAGCAAGCAGGCUGCCUGCAUGCAGAGAUCUAUUACUGCUUGCAAGUCACAAAUUCCAAUCCUGUAAUGCUCGUCCUCUUCUUCUGACGAGGAAUCGCAAGGAUCGGACCAAUGCGCAGCGUGAACCACAAGUCCAUCCUAUGCACAAAAAAAUACUUCUAUGGUGUGUGUGCGCAACUGUGUGGUGGUGACCAAGGUAAAAUAAACAUUAUCGGAUAUGCAAAUGUCAUGCACGUUGAAAUGUCGUAAAGUGCUUGCAGACGUUUUCACUUUGUCUGAACGCCGAGUAUAGAAAGUCCAAAAGCCCCCCUCCGAGCAUCCCAUUGGUUCCUUCAUUAACACCUCAAGCACGACAUCUUCAUGCCUGUGUGACACUUUUGAAUGUGGUUCAAAAGGGAAAUAAAAGUAUGAGUUUUCACCCCUGCCUACCAGAGUCCUCAUUGAUAGCUAGUGGGACAGUGUCCUUCGCUCCAGCCCACCCCCACAGUCGUUAACAAAACUGCUUAUCGCCCCCACCUUCCGCCUGCUGUGCACAGAGUCCUCCUUGCUCGCUAGCGGUAGACAGUGUCCUUCCCUCCCACCUGACCUCACUGUUGUUAACAGAACUGCGGAAAAACUCUGCCCAACAGGCUGAGGCAAAGUACAGUAUACCGGUCGCCCACGCAUCCCAGCUAGCUUGCUAGUGUUAUAUAAAUAAUCCAAUAUCAAGCAUUACUAGCAGACCAACGCUCUGGUUAAACCGGAUGCCCUCAGAUAACUCUGGGCGCAGUGCCCUCAGUCAAGUCUAGAGCCUGUGUACAAUAACAUAAUUAUCCUCACACAAAACAGUUCAAGGGAAGGACACACAGCUGCCAUCACGCAAAUAUACUCCCCUGUAAACUACAAAGAGCAUCCUGCAACAAAAACGAGCUUAGAGUGCCAAACUAUCUCACUGACAUUGAACCCUACAUGCACUCCUUCAUAAACAGGAAACACCUGCGCCUAAAGCAGACACUGCUAGUUCUCCCUAUCUUACGUUUCCUGGACACACAAACAUCUCAUGAAGCAAUGCACACUCACACUCCACCCCCCCUACUGGUCGGGUGACGUGAGCAGAGGACUCUGCUAUGCACCAAUGGGGCGCCUGCUCUGGCUAGAGCAGGCCCGCCUCCAACUCUUCAGGACCAGUCAGAAGACCAACACGACGAGACUCCACCUACAUUAUUCUGUGUAUACAUUCUGUUGUAAACUCUGGCGAGGCUGCCUAAUUUAGCUGACUCUUCACAGAGUCAUAUUGCUUAGGUCCGUGCACGAUGUAGGACAAGAUAUCUUUGACUCAAUAAACUGCCUUUUUGA